GAUGAACGCUGGCGGCGUGCCUAAUACAUGCAAGUCGAGCGAACAGACGCGGAGCUUGCUCCUCUGACGUUAGCGGCGGACGUGUGAGUAACACGUGUAUAACCUACCUAUCAGACUGGGAUAACUUCGGGAAACCGGCGCUAAUACCGUAUAAUCUCUUGAUCCGCAUUAUUCGAUAGUGAAAGACGGUUUUGCUGUCACUUCUAGCUGGAUACGCGCCGCAUUAGCUAGUUGGUAAGGUAACGGCGUACGAAGGCAACGAUGCGUAGCCGAACUGAGAGAGUGAUCGGCCGCCUGGGAACUGAGACACGGUCCAGACUCCUACGGGAGGCAGCAGUAGGGAAUCUUCCGCAAUGGGCGAAAGCCUGACGGAGCAACGGCGAGUGAGUGAUGAAGGUCUUCGGAUCGUAAAACUCUGUUAUUAGGGAAGAACAAAUGUGUAAGUAACUAUGCACGUCUUGACGGUACCUAAUCAGAAAGCCACGGCUAACUACGUG
Molecule: ribosomal RNA, 497 nt
Filed under: uncultured bacterium
Lineage: Bacteria
Description: partial 16S ribosomal RNA
Rfam family: Bacterial small subunit ribosomal RNA
Source: RNAcentral